UAUAUUGUCAGGGUCUUAACCCAAUGAGCCACAACGGGAACUCCCAGAGAUCUAUAGAUUUUUAAACGAGGACCUGGUCUAGCCAAAGCUGUGUUCCCACCGUCAAUCACCUGGCAGGAUGGAUUAGAGGAGGACAGUGGGAAGAAAUAGGCAGGACCUCUCAGAAAGCCAUGGCCACCACUGGAUGCGGAAGUGAUGGACUCUAUGCAAAUGCAGUGCUGGCAGCUGGAAGGCAAAAGAAGGGGGGUGGACAGAAAGAAGUUUCUGGGGAGAGGAGUGGAUGGAGGAGUGGGCAGGUGCAGCCUGGGUUUCUCCUGCCGGCACUAUAAAGCCAAGACCCUGUCCCCGAGAGCCCCGACAACACCCACGCCGGCCCCACGAGGCACAUCGUUUGCUUUUAUUUUAUUUUGUUUUUCCUUGUCUUUUAUUUUCACCCUGGCAUGGACCAGCAGGACUGGCGCUGAGCUCUGCUGCGUAGCAGGCAUGCAAGGACGGUCUGGGAGGGGUUCUGACGCCCAUGCCCAGGGCAGGUGGUGCGGGUCCCCGCUCUCUCCAGGUGACCCCCGCAGAGCCACUGCCCCUCGGAGCUGCCAGGCCCCGGCCUCCCAUUCCUUAUCGCCCACAGCACCUUCUGCAAUAACUGAACCGAAGCAGGAGUGGGAAGAAAGAAAUUCAACCUGGUUUCCUCUGCCCAGCUCCGAACGGUGUCUUGCCCAGAGCCCUAUUUCUCAAUCUCUCCUCUGGCGCCUUUUAAUAUUUAUAGCUGCGUGGACAGAAUGCGGAGUGUGAGAGCUUGUCGGAUCCUGGAAGCAGAGACGUAGGAGAGCUGUCCCCUACCUGAGGACCCAGCAACCCAAGGGACUGCCCCCAGGGCCAUUCCCAGGAGACCCCCUGAGAGGGUCCCGCUGGCUAUCUGGUCCCCUUCAUUGUACUCAGCCAAGGUCUCCCUUUGUGCUGUUUUUUCUCCCCACUUUCUGCAUCUCCACCAACCCGAGCGCAGUCUCUGCAUUGCUUCCUGGCGAGGACCAAAAAGUUUUUUCCAUAUUUGUUCAUUUCUGCUGCAUUUAAAAAGGCCCUCAGACCUUAGUGGGUAAAUAACACAUUUAUUAUCUCAAAGUUUCUCUGGGUCAGGAACCCAGGCCUGGCUUAACUGGGUCCUCUGGUCUCACAAGGCUGCCGUCAAGGUGCUGGCCAGGGGCUGCGGUCUCAUCCGAAGGCUCGCCUAGGCAGCAUCCACCUGCAAGCACGUCUGUGGUGGUUGGCAGGGUUCCAUUUCUGCUGGGUUGUUGGGCCGAGGGCUUCAUUCAUCCAGUAUCUCAGAUGGCUUCUGGGGGCACAAAGUUCUUUGCUAGGUUGUGUUUCUCUGGUUCAGGCCAGGAAGGAGGAGGAGCCUUUGGAGGGGGGCAGGCCUAGAAGUGGUGGCCUCCCUUCUGCCCAGAUUCCAUGGGCCAGAACUCAGUCCUCUGGCCCACCUGUCUAAUGGUGGGGUUGUUGGGGAAGCUCAGAGAUGUAGGCCCAGGAGGAAGAGGACAGGACACAGGGGAACAAUCCUCCAGCCUCUACCCUGUGCAGGGGGUCAGAGCACAGAGUGCAGUCCCUUCUGUGUCAACGUGACUGGGCCACCGUGGGCCCAGAUGGCCAUCUGGACAUUAUCUCUGGGCCUGUCUGGGUGUUUGCAGGGGAGACUAGGGUUUGAAUUAUUGAACUGAGAAAAGCACAUGGGUGGGUCUCCUGUUGCCUGAGGGCCUGAGCAGAACAAAGAAGCCGAGGAAGGUGAAUUUGGGCUCUGCCGGACUGCCAGCUGGGACCUCAAUCCUCCCCUGACCUUGCAGCGCCAGCCACAGGCUUUCAGACCCAGCCUGGAUCUGCGUCACUGGCUCCCCUGCUCCCAGCCCUUCAGCCUGUACCACCUGGUUGUCCUGGGUCUCCAGCUUACUGACGACAGAUCAUGAGAAGCCCCGUAAUCAGCCUCCGUGAUCAUGAGCCGACCAUCAGUGGACCCAGGAUUGGCUCCUGGGCUACCACAUGACUCAAUUCAAGCCAAUGAGAGUCAGGCUCAGAACUUGGCUCUUAUUGAUGGAGGAGGAACAAUUCACUCUUGGCCUGGAGGCUGGGAGCUGGGGUACCGCCAUGGUGCUUCAAUUCCCUGAGCCAACGGAGAAGGCAGCGGGGCUGAGAAACUGGACCACAUGACGUCAUCCUGAUGACAUCAUCCAGACUCCCGCAUCCAGCCAAACCCGUGACCUGGAUCCCAGGGCCCCUCAGGCAGAGGCCAGCGGAAACUGUCACUCUAUCCUCCCAGCUCUACCGAGGAUGGCCCUUGGGUGGAACUUAAGGACGUGGAUCACACGACACUGGGAAACCUCACCGUGUGGCGAAAAACCCUUGACUUUCAGGCCAGUGUGUUCUGCAUCUUUAGGACUAGCCGGAGGUUUUUGGAACACCUUUGACCGGUCACCACUCUCGAGUGGUAACAGCAAGGAAAGUGAGUUCCUGUCCAUCUCAGACAUGGUGGAAUGAUUCCUCCCUCUGCGUACACUGGCUCUUUCCAGAAUCAUCGUUUAUCUCCUGGGCUAGGGCAGCACUGAAGGUGCAGUUGUGGUGGGAAAGAGCAACCCUCAGAGAAAAUUAACUCUGAGCCUCCAGGCUCUUUCUAACGUGGUUGGAUGUUAUUUAAAAGGUAUUCAAAUAAAAG
Long non-coding RNA from Phacochoerus africanus (Common warthog), 2695 nucleotides. RefSeq lists it as uncharacterized. The record is from RefSeq and is a predicted model, not a curated record. NCBI's taxonomy places the organism in Eukaryota, Metazoa, Chordata, Mammalia, Artiodactyla, Suidae. The transcript is spliced from 4 exons.